This 2084-nucleotide long non-coding RNA is filed under the name Citrus maxima (pomelo). RNAcentral's name for it is "long non-coding RNA (CMAX_LNC004140)". Lineage: Eukaryota; Viridiplantae; Streptophyta; Magnoliopsida; Sapindales; Rutaceae. The record is from RNAcentral.
UGAGAUUUAAUAGUUGGAAAAUGGGUAACCAGCUGAAGCUGUAGUACCGAUGAAACAAAAACAAAAAAGAUAAUCCAGAUCUAAAUUCACAGCUCUCUCUCUCUCUCUCUCUCCGUGAAUAAUCUUCUUCUUCAUCCACAAUUGGCUUUCACAACUCUCUCUCUCUCUCUUCGUAAUACUCUUGUUCUUUAACCACAAUUGACCAUCACAGCUCUCUCUCCAUCACAGUUCUUCAAGCAAAAUGGGCUACUGUGUUGAGAGAGAAAGUUGCUACUGUUGCUGCGUUGAGAGAGAAAGUUGCUACUGCAUCUCAACUUUGUGUGCUGUUGCUGUCGUAAUUGAGGAUCGAUUGCUGCGUUGAGAGAGAAAGCUGUUGCCACUGCGUCUCGGCUCUGUGUGGUGGUGCUGCGUCUCUGCUCUGAUUCGGUUGGUGAUGGUGCUACUGCUGCUGCUGCAUCUAUUUCGGUAAAUUUUGUUGCGUCUAUUUUGUUCAUAUGAAUGUUAAUUGAUUUUUUUUUUCUGGGUUUUUUUCAUAUGAUUUUAAUUGAUUUUUUGUUUCUAUGUUUUGUUCAUACGAUUGUUAAUUGAUUUUUUUUAUUCUUUCCUUUAUUUGCUAUGAUUUCGUUUCUCUUUGGGAUAAAUUUAGGAAGUAUGAGUCUAAUUUUUAUUGAAUGUAUGAUAUGUGAAGGCCCUACCUACUGUUAUUUUGGGCUAAUGUGUCAGCUACAGGUUGAUAUUUUGGGCUAAUGUGGAGAGUAGGGUAGAAUAGUUUAUGAAUAAAUUGAAAGGAUGGUCAUAUAGAUGGUUAAGGCUGAAAUUGCAUAAAAGUUCUCCUCAGCUUUUACCCAACAAGUAAGUGUGAUAUUUUUGAAACCAAGGUUAAACACAAGAGUUAGGAUUAUGGUAUUGCAUGUUCUUUCUGGAACUUUAAUUGCUAUCUCCAUUAUGGUUCUCUUAUAUCUUUUUGUUUACAUCAAAGAAAGAUGGGUUAUGGAAUAGGGACUUUCAGGUUUUUCUGUGAACUUCCCUUGUGUUCACUUGUUUAUGCUUCACUCUAUGCUUUCAUUAUUUCCUCAUUUUAUUUUUCCACUUUCAAUAUCAUUGGUUCAUCAUAGUUUCAAGGAUUUUGCAAUGAAAUUUGCUUAUUGAUGCAUUCGCAACCUUUUCUUUUUAUGUAUUUCUUAUUGCCAACUCCUAUGCUCUCAUUCGAUAUAAUGAUGUUGACUGCAGAGACAUAAACGGGGGAAGAAAAUAUUUGUUGUGACGCAUGAGGAGCUAAAGGUGAUUCAUUAAAAUACUCUCAACCUUGAACCACAUUCAAUUUCUAUUUUCCAGUCUGAUUUAUAUGUGCAUAUUCUUAUAUUGUAGCAUCUUAGGCGGAGGAUAAAAGACUUUGCAUCUACAUACAUGAAGAAUUGAAGAUUAAUAACUAUACUACUAUUCUUGUGAUGGGGUUGCUACACAGCAGGGGGCAAAAUGUCUAAAAGCAAACAGCGGGGGGCAAAAAGUUUAAGUGGCUUUGCUCUCACUCCUGUAAAAUUAUGGAAGUAUUUCGAAUAUUUUCAAUACAUCAAAAGAUAAUGUUAAAAGAUUUGGGAAUUAGAUUAAAAAGGCAAGAAUGUAGCACUAAUGCAGAUUAUUGAGAAAUGAUUCAAUUUUUGGGGGUUUAAUUGAAUCAUUAACCUUCUUGACAUUCCUCAGUUAAGCAUGAUAUAAGUAGUCAAUUUUACAACGCAGAUGAACUCAAAAAUUGGCUAAUCAAAUAUGAACUUCCUCGUCAGUAGUGAGUUUUGGUCGUGGAAGGGUAAAAAAGUAUCAAGAGUACGCAGCCAUGCAGGGCGAGGAUUUGAUGUUUUGAGAGCUGUUAAAGUGUCGUCUCCCUCUCAGCAAACUCUGACGGUAAUUUUUGAUAAAUAUUUUAUUUAAAUCAUGUUCUGUAAAAUACAAAAAAAAAAUCAUGUGCUGUAAUAUAUAUUUUAAUUAUAGGGUAAAAUAAUGAAAAUGUGAAACUUUCUUUUUUAAUAAAUGUUAAUACCAAAAUAUUUAUGGUAUGUCUGUGUAUGUAUUAGUUAAAACAAUUACUU